RNAcentral lists this ribosomal RNA (894 nucleotides) under Ovatospora brasiliensis. RNAcentral describes it as "LSU rRNA". It matches the Rfam family "Eukaryotic large subunit ribosomal RNA", at positions 45 to 972 of the family's 3401-position model. The record is from RNAcentral. Lineage: Eukaryota; Fungi; Ascomycota; Sordariomycetes; Sordariales; Chaetomiaceae.
AAUAAGCGGAGGAAAAGAAACCAACAGGGAUUGCCCCAGUAACGGCGAGUGAAGCGGCAACAGCUCAAAUUUGAAAUCUGGCUUCGGCCCGAGUUGUAAUUUGUAGAGGAUGCUUUAGGCGCGGCUCCUUCUGAGUGCCCUGGAACGGGACGCCACAGAGGGUGAGAGCCCCGUAUAGUUGGAUGCCUAGCCUGUGUAAAGCUCCUUCGACGAGUCGAGUAGUUUGGGAAUGCUGCUCAAAAUGGGAGGUAAAUUUCUUCUAAAGCUAAAUACCGGCCAGAGACCGAUAGCGCACAAGUAGAGUGAUCGAAAGAUGAAAAGCACUUUGAAAAGAGGGUUAAAUAGCACGUGAAAUUGUUGAAAGGGAAGCGCUUGUGACCAGACUUGCGCCGGGCUGAUCAUCCGGAGUUCUCUCCGGUGCACUCUGCCCGGCUCAGGCCAGCAUCGGUUCUCGCGGGGGGAUAAAGGCCUCGGGAACGUAGCUCCUCCGGGAGUGUUAUAGCCCGGGGCGUAAUGCCCUCGCGGGGACCGAGGUUCGCGCAUCUGCAAGGAUGCUGGCGUAAUGGUCACCAGCGACCCGUCUUGAAACACGGACCAAGGAGUCAAGGUUUUGCGCGAGUGUUUGGGUGUAAAACCCGCACGCGUAAUGAAAGUGAACGUAGGUGAGAGCUUCGGCGCAUCAUCGACCGAUCCUGAUGUAUUCGGAUGGAUUUGAGUAGGAGCGUUAAGCCUUGGACCCGAAAGAUGGUGAACUAUGCUUGGAUAGGGUGAAGCCAGAGGAAACUCUGGUGGAGGCUCGCAGCGGUUCUGACGUGCAAAUCGAUCGUCAAAUCUGAGCAUGGGGGCGAAAGACUAAUCGAACCAUCUAGUAGCUGGUUACCGCCGAAUUUCCCC